AACAAGAUCCCUUCACCAUUGCAAUCCACCAUAAGCUUGCGGUUGGGACCUUCUAUAAGCCUACCAGCAAAAGGGUAAUAAUACACAAGUGCUUCACUUAUAGCUUCCUUGAUGACCUUCACGGGAUCUUUUUCUUUGAGUACUGGAGGUGAUGAUGCAGAGUUAUUCUUGUAAAGGAAUAUUACUGGAAUAUGAAACCUGAAACUUUCUUGGUCGUCUAUAUCGGAAAGUUGCUUUAAUUCACGCGGUGUUGGCCUUGCCGGAACAAUUAAUUCCGGUGCCUGCCGGGUUACUGACAAAACUAGAGAAAAUUUUGGAGCCAUUUUAAAUUUUCAAUGUUAGUUACUAGUUUGGUUGUUCUGGUAAGGCUUGAACUGUUUCACUGGUUGCCUUGGCCUCCAAAAAUUUUCAUUUAUAGCUGAAGAAAGAGGCACGUGGGUAGCACGUAUGGAAAGUGACUGUCGCCGAAUUAUGCAGAAGCACGUGUGUGGCACGUUAUACAUAAUUUUUUCAUUCAACUUCAGCAAAAAUAUUCUUGGUCGGUUAGGGUUAAGAUGAUUUAUGUAUAUGUACAGAAAGUGUCCAUCGAUAUAAACAUUUGUUUCCUACUUGAUUAAUUUCGAAAACAAUUAUAGUCUGCACCUACGGCUUGGCGGAGUGGUUGUCAAUCCAUUUUUUCUUUGAUUCGCCAUCCCAAAUUCAAAUCUUAGUUAAAAAAAAUAAUAAUAAUUUAAACUUCGUUCAUCUUUAUGCUUUGCUAUGAGAGUACUUCGUUCGUUGGAAUGGUGAUUUUCAAACACUGGAUCAUCACCUAUAUUAUAGCAUUCCAAAUUAAAAAUACGGAUCAAAUUUGAAGAGAAAUACAAAACGAUAAUGCGCUUAGAGUACCCAAGACUCUACUAUGUAUUGAACAUGAUGACGAGCACGUUUCUUGUAAAAUUAGGACGCUAUUGAAUAUGUUGUGAUAAGGUGGUGUACUGUAAUUUAGGAGGCAAAUUCUCCUUCCAAUAAUUCUUGCAACACUUGGCUGAUUGAGCUUGUUCCCCUAAAUAAACAAUUAAGAGCAAUGGGCAACCAAGAAUGCCUUCAGAACCUGGAACAUUAUAGGUCAAUUGUUCCAAAUACGGGCAUGGAGACUGAAUAGCACCGCCAAGCUGCUCAAGUUUGAAGUUAGCUUCAGCCUCGAGAAACAAGAUCCCUUCACCAUUGCAAUCCACCAUAAGCUUGCGGUUGGGACCUUCUAUAAGCCUACCAGCAAAAGGGUAAUAAUACACAAGUGCUUCACUUAUAGCUUCCUUGAUGACCUUCACGGGAUCUUUUUCUUUGAGUACUGGAGGUGAUGAUGCAGAGUUAUUCUUGUAAAGGAAUAUUACUGGAAUAUGAAACCUGAAACUUUCUUGGUCGUCUAUAUCGGAAAGUUGCUUUAAUUCACGCGGUGUUGGCCUUGCCGGAACAAUUAAUUCCGGUGCCUGCCGGGUUACUGAC
This 1485-nucleotide long non-coding RNA is filed under the name Citrus sinensis (sweet orange). RNAcentral's name for it is "long non-coding RNA (CSIN_LNC000999)". The record is from RNAcentral. Lineage: Eukaryota; Viridiplantae; Streptophyta; Magnoliopsida; Sapindales; Rutaceae.